UACGUAGGGUGCAAGCGUUAAUCGGAAUUACUGGGCGUAAAGCGUGCGCAGGCGGUUAUGUAAGACAGGUGUGGAAUCCCCGGGCUUAACCUGGGAACUGCAUUUGUGACUGCAUAGCUAGAGUACGGUAGAGGGGGAUGGAAUUCCGCGUGUAGCAGUGAAAUGCGUAGAUAUGCGGAGGAACACCGAUGGCGAAGGCAAUCCCCUGGACCUGUACUGACGCUCAUGCACGAAAGCGUGGGGAGCAAACAGG
RNAcentral lists this ribosomal RNA (253 nucleotides) under uncultured bacterium. RNAcentral's name for it is "partial 16S ribosomal RNA". It matches the Rfam family "Bacterial small subunit ribosomal RNA", at positions 524 to 776 of the family's 1533-position model. The record is from RNAcentral.